RNAcentral lists this ribosomal RNA (467 nucleotides) under uncultured bacterium. RNAcentral's name for it is "partial 16S ribosomal RNA". It matches the Rfam family "Bacterial small subunit ribosomal RNA", at positions 29 to 507 of the family's 1533-position model. The record is from RNAcentral.
ACGAACGCUGGCGGCGUGCUUAACACAUGCAAGUCGGACGGAAAGGCCCUGCUUUUGUGGGGUGCUCGAGUGGCGAACGGGUGAGUAACACGUGAGUAACCUGCCCUUGACUUUGGGAUAACUUCAGGAAACUGGGGCUAAUACCGGAUAGGAGCUCCUGCUGCAUGGUGGGGGUUGGAAAGUUUCGGCGGUUGGGGAUGGACUCGCGGCUUAUCAGCUUGUUGGUGGGGUAGUGGCUUACCAAGGCUUUGACGGGUAGCCGGCCUGAGAGGGUGACCGGCCACAUUGGGACUGAGAUACGGCCCAGACUCCUACGGGAGGCAGCAGUGGGGAAUAUUGCACAAUGGGCGGAAGCCUGAUGCAGCAACGCCGCGUGCGGGAUGACGGCCUUCGGGUUGUAAACCGCUUUCGCCUGUGACGAAGCGUGAGUGACGGUAAUGGGUAAAGAAGCACCGGCUAACUACGUG